CUACGGGUGGCUGCAGUGGGGAAUAUUGGACAAUGGGGGAAACCCUGAUCCAGCAAUGCCGCGUGUGUGAAGAAGGCCUGCGGGUUGUAAAGCACUUUCGGUUGGGAGGACUGCUUCUAGCACUAAUAUUGUUGGAAGUUGACGUUACCUUCAGAAGAAGCACCGGCUAACUCCGUGCCAGCAGCCGCGGUAAUACGGAGGGUGCAGGCGUUAAUCGGAAUUACUGGGCGUAAAGCGCGCGAAGGCGGCUAGAUCAGUCGGGUGUGAAAGCCCCGGGCUUAACCUGGGAACUGCAUCCGAUACUGUCUAGCUUGAGUACAGGAGAGGAGAGUGGAAUUCCACAUGUAGCGGUGACAUGCGUAGAUAUGUGGAGGAACACCAAUGGCGAAGGCAGCUCUCUGGCCUGAUACUGACGCUGAGGUGCGAAAGCGUGGGGAGCAAACAGGAUUAGAUACCCUCGUAGUC
Molecule: ribosomal RNA, 465 nt
Filed under: uncultured bacterium
Lineage: Bacteria
Description: partial 16S ribosomal RNA
Rfam family: Bacterial small subunit ribosomal RNA
Source: RNAcentral